GAUUAAGUUAUUAAGGGCGCACGGUGGAUGCCUUGGCACUAGAAGCCGAUGAAGGACGUUACUAACGACGAUAUGCUUUGGGGAGCUGUAAGUAAGCUUUGAUCCAGAGAUUUCCGAAUGGGGAAACCCAGCAUGAGUUAUGUCAUGUUAUCGAUAUGUGAAUACAUAGCAUAUCAGAAGGCACACCCGGAGAACUGAAACAUCUUAGUACCCGGAGGAAGAGAAAGAAAAUUCGAUUCCCUUAGUAGCGGCGAGCGAAACGGGAAGAGCCCAAACCAACAAGCUUGCUUGUUGGGGUUGUAGGACACUCUAUACGGAGUUACAAAGGACGACAUUAGACGAAUCAUCUGGAAAGAUGAAUCAAAGAAGGUAAUAAUCCUGUAGUCGAAAAUGUUGUCUCUCUUGAGUGGAUCCUGAGUACGACGGAGCACGUGAAAUUCCGUCGGAAUCUGGGAGGACCAUCUCCUAAGGCUAAAUACUCUCUAGUGACCGAUAGUGAACCAGUACCGUGAGGGAAAGGUGAAAAGCACCCCGGAAGGGGAGUGAAAUAGAACCUGAAACCGUGUGCUUACAAGUAGUCAGAGCCCGUUAAUGGGUGAUGGCGUGCCUUUUGUAGAAUGAACCGGCGAGUUACGAUUUGAUGCAAGGUUAAGCAGUAAAUGUGGAGCCGUAGCGAAAGCGAGUCUGAAUAGGGCGUUUAGUAUUUGGUCGUAGACCCGAAACCAGGUGAUCUACCCUUGGUCAGGUUGAAGUUCAGGUAACACUGAAUGGAGGACCGAACCGACUUACGUUGAAAAGUGAGCGGAUGAACUGAGGGUAGCGGAGAAAUUCCAAUCGAACCUGGAGAUAGCUGGUUCUCUCCGAAAUAGCUUUAGGGCUAGCCUCAAGUGAUGAUUAUUGGAGGUAGAGCACUGUUUGGACGAGGGGCCCCUCUCGGGUUACCGAAUUCAGACAAACUCCGAAUGCCAAUUAAUUUAACUUGGGAGUCAGAACAUGGGUGAUAAGGUCCGUGUUCGAAAGGGAAACAGCCCAGACCACCAGCUAAGGUCCCAAAAUAUAUGUUAAGUGGAAAAGGAUGUGGCGUUGCCCAGACAACUAGGAUGUUGGCUUAGAAGCAGCCAUCAUUUAAAGAGUGCGUAAUAGCUCACUAGUCGAGUGACACUGCGCCGAAAAUGUACCGGGGCUAAACAUAUUACCGAAGCUGUGGAUUGUCCUUUGGACAAUGGUAGGAGAGCGUUCUAAGGGCGUUGAAGCAUGAUCGUAAGGACAUGUGGAGCGCUUAGAAGUGAGAAUGCCGGUGUGAGUAGCGAAAGACGGGUGAGAAUCCCGUCCACCGAUUGACUAAGGUUUCCAGAGGAAGGCUCGUCCGCUCUGGGUUAGUCGGGUCCUAAGCUGAGGCCGACAGGCGUAGGCGAUGGAUAACAGGUUGAUAUUCCUGUACCACCUAUAAUCGUUUUAAUCG
RNAcentral lists this ribosomal RNA (1462 nucleotides) under Staphylococcus aureus. RNAcentral's name for it is "partial 23S ribosomal RNA". It matches the Rfam family "Bacterial large subunit ribosomal RNA", at positions 1 to 1465 of the family's 2925-position model. Lineage: Bacteria; Bacillati; Bacillota; Bacilli; Caryophanales; Staphylococcaceae. The record is from RNAcentral.